RNA transcript from Haliotis rubra (blacklip abalone), 1444 nucleotides. RefSeq lists it as uncharacterized. Lineage: Eukaryota; Metazoa; Mollusca; Gastropoda; Lepetellida; Haliotidae. The record is from RefSeq and is a predicted model, not a curated record. The transcript is spliced from 3 exons.
AAAUGAAACACGUCCAUGUGGUGUAAUGAAAGAAUAUUGUGACACAUACUGACCUGAAAAGAGUAUAUAUGGUCACUGCUGCUAGAUUGAUCCGGGCGACUGAGGUCGACCAAAGCCCAUGGCUCAUGCUAACUGCGGUGAUUGACUCUAAAGUUACAAGGGGCCAAGAAUAUUUUUUCUCGGUCGUGGAACAGCACGCCGUUGUGAGCGUUCUGCGUGUGUUGUCGCCAAAGAUACGUCGACAUCCCAAGCGUUUUAACCGCCAAGCACUAUGUUGAUCAAGUUCUCAGUUCAAACAAGGAAUGUGUUGGGCGGUAAUGCUGUAAUGCUUAAUUAAGUAUCCUCAUCCCUGGAUGAAUCUCAUCGAUGAUCAUGCUGAACGAAACAAUGGAUAUGUUUUGGACACGGUCGCCCACGGAAGGAGAGAUUCCUCGAUUUGACAGUGACAAUAUAUUGUCCUACCUGGCUUCUCUACGAAAGGACAAAAACGCAACAAGAGGAAGGGAAAGGUUUCGGGAAGGAUACAUACACAACGUCUUUGUUACCAAGCCUAAUGGCAGCGACAGAAUGUACAUAAAAGCAAAAUGCGGACAAAAGACUUAUCAACAUUGUUACGACAUUUGUGUCGAACUGUCCCGGAGCACGGCUGAAGUCGUAAAAGCUGAAUGCACGUGCAAUCCAUACAGGAAACACACCGCGGCCUGCAAACACGUUGUGGGAUUGUUGUACGAAUUUGACGACUUCUGGCGAUCGGGACUUACCGAGCUUCAGCCUCAGUACCAUCCACACGAACACGUGUGUCGGAGAAGGCCGAUCAACAUUCGGGAGAAUUCUCGGUAAACACCGCGAACACUCGGAAUAUUUUUUCUGAAAUCCAAAGAUUGUGAAGAACACUGCUGAUUGUCAAGUAUUUCUGAAAUCAAAGAAUGAAAAUAGUACUUUCGGGGACUUGAUACCUCAAAACUGGACACUCACGUGACAAUGACCAAACUGGUGUAAUACUUGGUAUGUAAUAGUCUAUUUCUGCUAAAGCCGAUUUCGUUAUUUCCCGGAACAUCAAUAUUCAAUAGUCUAAAAUAAGUGAGUGAGGUAAAAUUAAACGUCGGGUCGGCGUUAUUUCAGUUACAUAGGUACGGGAACAUGUUUCUUAGUACAUAGUCAUUUAUUAUUAUUAUUUUGUCACAUAAAAAACUGUCGGGCAAAUAUAGUAUGACCUUGAGGGGGGGGGGGGGGCGAAUGUAUGGAUGCCAACUAAAUACGAUUAACACAACGUUUCGGGGAUAUUCUUACUGCCAUUCAAAUAUUUUAGAAACUUCAUAACUGGAUAUAACGAAAAGUAUUCAAACAUUUUUAUUCAAACGUUAAUUAAUCCCAGAUUACAUACACACACAUAGAGAGAGAGAGAGAGAGAGAGAGAGAGAGAGAGAGAGAGAGAGAGAGAGAG